AUGCUGCUGAGAACAAUGGAAUUGCUUCCUGUUUUACACCAUCCAUCCCAGAGAGGCACCCGUGUGUCAAGAAGGGACAACAGUAAUUCAUCUAGUGUGAUGAUUUCUGCAAGACCCUUUGUCAAGAGCCAGCAGGGAGAAGAGCUCUUUUAUGCCCCAGUGGGGCUUUACCAGGGCAUGCCGUUCCUCCACAGGAGCCCCCUGGGGUCCCAUGGCAAUCUGAAGCCUUCCAACUGCCUGAUGGACAGCCAGAUGCAUGUGAGGCUGACUGGCUUUGGGCUAUGGGAGCUCAAGUCUGGCCGGACCUGCAGAACAUACAAGGGACUGACAAACUAUUUGGGUAACUGCUGGCAGACCCCCUGCCUAUCAGCAGAGUGGUAACAGGGCGCCUGACCCCACCCUUUCCUGAAGCUCACUUGCACGUGUACCCACCCGCAGGAGCCCUUCCUCUGGAGCUGACUGAGUGGGGCUGUUCUAUUCACCCAAGGAAGCAAGAUCAAAAUAGCCUCCAGGGUGGUGAGUCCAUGGUGUGGUGUUAGAGUUAGGAGGCUGGGUCUCAUCCUGGUGGAGCUGGGUGGCCAGAAGCAAGUCACUUCCCUUCUCUUUAGGCCUCGGUAUUCUGAUGCAUCAUCAUCCUGUGCCCUCACUCAGCACGCACCAUCUGCAGGCACUUUAAAGACCAUGAGUGCCAUCCUCUUGGUGCUCCAGUUUCACUUGAGAAGCUUUAAAAAAUACGUAGGUGGCUAGGUCCCACCCCAGAUCAACUGAGUCAGAAUACCAGAAGGUGGAAUCCGGGCAUGGGCAACUGUAUGGUUUUUUAAAAGCUCUCAAAUGAUUCUCAUGCCUCGUUCUGGACAAGACAUUCUGCUGGUAGUCCAACCCUCCUUUGCGUUUGUAAAUGCAAACCGAGGCUUGGACUCUUCCUACUAGUCGUCCACAGUUAACUGAGCACCCUGAAGUCUCACCUCACUAGUAUCCCAAGGCCCUGAGCACCCCUCUCUGGAGCAGCCCCUUGCCAGGAGCCUGGCUGUGCCCAUAUGGGGAGUUUCUGUAACGUGGGACACCUGGAUGCCUUCCUGAAAAAGACACAGCGGGAAGUUCUGAAAACCUGCUAGUAGCUGCCCUAUUUCCCCACCCCUCAAUAUAUUUUCUUUUUUUUUUCUUUUUUUUUAAAUUUUUAUUUAUUUAUGAUAGUCACAGAGAGAGAGAGAGGCAGAGACAUAGGCCGAGGGAGAAGCAGGCUCCAUGCACCGGGAGCCUGAUGUGGGAUUCGAUCCUGGGUCUCUCCAGGCUCCAUGCACCGGGAGCCUGAUGUGGGAUCGCGCCCUGGGCCAAAGGCAGGCGCCAAACCACUGCGCCACCCAGGGAUCCCAAUAUAUUUUCUUUUAGUGAUUGUAACCUACAAUGAAAUAAGCCUAUAAACCUCACAGCAAAAAAUUAAUUGUAGGUCAUAUAAACUACCCGGAACACAGAGAUCUGUAAAGCCAGGAUGCGGCUUGGUGGUUCCCCAGGGCUGGGGGUAGGAGGAACAGGGAGCGGCUGCUUGAUGGCUAUAGGAUUUUACUUUGAGGCCAUGGACAUGUCUUGGAACUAGAUAGGGGGGCUGCUUGUAUAGUAUUGCGAAUGUACCACAUGCCACUGAAUUGCUUGCUUUCGUGGUUAAUUUUAUGUCCUAGGAAUCCUACCCCAAUAAAUUAGUUUCUAAAAUGUAGACAAGACAGAAAGGGCAAAGAAAAAUGAAGACGUCUUAUAAACUCACAGCCAGGUGUUAGCCACAGUUGACACGUUGUUGUGAGAGCCCUUCCUGGCUGUUUGCUCUGUAUUUG
RNAcentral lists this long non-coding RNA (1826 nucleotides) under Canis lupus familiaris (dog). Its description in RNAcentral is "lncRNA (ENSCAFG00030018975.1)". Lineage: Eukaryota; Metazoa; Chordata; Mammalia; Carnivora; Canidae. The record is from RNAcentral.